RNAcentral lists this ribosomal RNA (1445 nucleotides) under uncultured beta proteobacterium. RNAcentral describes it as "bacterial SSU rRNA". It matches the Rfam family "Bacterial small subunit ribosomal RNA". The record is from RNAcentral. Lineage: Bacteria; Pseudomonadati; Pseudomonadota; Betaproteobacteria.
UACCUGGCGGCAUGCCUUCACAUGCAAGUCGAACGGCAGCGCGGGGCAACCUGGCGGCGAGUGGCGAACGGGUGAGUAAUAUAUCGGAACGUACCCUGGAGUGGGGGAUAACGUAGCGAAAGUUACGCUAAUACCGCAUACGAUCUAAGGAUGAAAGUGGGGGCUCGCAAGACCUCAUGCUCCUGGAGCGGCCGAUAUCUGAUUAGCUAGUUGGUGGGGUAAAGGCCCACCAAGGCAUCGAUCAGUAGCUGGUCUGAGAGGACGACCAGCCACACUGGAACUGAGACACGGUCCAGACUCCUACGGGAGGCAGCAGUGGGGAAUUUUGGACAAUGGGCGCAAGCCUGAUCCAGCAAUGCCGCGUGAGUGAAGAAGGCCUUCGGGUUGUAAAGCUCUUUUGUCAGGGAAGAAACGGGUGGGGCUAAUAUCCUCACCUAAUGACGGUACCUGAAGAAUAAGCACCGGCUAACUACGUGCCAGCAGCCGCGGUAAUACGUAGGGUGCAAGCGUUAAUCGGAAUUACUGGGCGUAAAGCGUGCGCAGGCGGUUUUGUAAGUCUGUCGUGAAAUCCCCGGGCUCAACCUGGGAAUGGCGAUGGAGACUGCAAGGCUAGAGUUUGGCAGAGGGGGGUAGAAUUCCACGUGCAGCAGUGAAAUGCGUAGAUAUGUGGAGGAACACCGAUGGCGAAGGCAGCCCCCUGGGUCAAAACUGACGCUCAUGCACGAAAGCGUGGGGAGCAAACAGGAUUAGAUACCCUGGUAGUCCACGCCCUAAACGAUGUCUACUAGUUGUCGGGUCUUAAUUGACUUGGUAACGCAGCUAACGCGGUGAAGUAGACCGCCUGGGGAGUACGGUCGCAAGAUUAAAACUCAAAGGAAUUGACGGGGGACCCGCACAAGCGGUGGAUGAUGUGGAUUAAUUCGAUGCAACGCGAAAAACCUUACCUACCCUUGACAUGGAUGGAACCUCGGAGAGAUUUGAGGGUGCCCGAAAGGGAACCAUUACACAGGUGCUGCAUGGCUGUCGUCAGCUCGUGUCGUGAGAUGUUGGGUUAAGUCCCGCAACGAGCGCAACCCUUGUCAUUAGUUGCUACGAAAGGGCACUCUAAUGAGACUGCCGGUGACAAACCGGAGGAAGGUGGGGAUGACGUCAAGUCCUCAUGGCCCUUAUGGGUAGGGCUUCACACGUCAUACAAUGGUACAUACAGAGGGCCGCCAACCCGCGAGGGGGAGCUAAUCCCAGAAAGUGUAUCGUAGUCCGGAUUGUAGUCUGCAACUCGACUGCAUGAAGUUGGAAUCGCUAGUAAUCGCGGAUCAGCAUGUCGCGGUGAAUACGUUCCCGGGUCUUGUACACACCGCCCGUCACACCAUGGGAGCGGGUUUUACCAGAAGUAGGUAGCUUAACCGCAAGGAGGGCGCUUACCACGGUAGGAUUCGUGACUGGGG